CUCGCAGAAUCGAAAGUUAGUGCAGCCUCCAGAAGGGACAUUCUUCUAACGAAGUGUUCACUUGGCCCGUCAUGGGAUCCAACAGUAAUUGAAAGUUUUAUGGGCUAAAAAACAGCGUCUACAUCUGGUGCCCCUACCUGUCUUUGUGAUUUUUUAUGACUUUUAUGUUCUUGUAUCGUGAACCGCAGUGAACAACGGUUGUUGCAAGUUCCAGGGAUAUCUUUGGAAGUGGUAAACAAAUGCGUCUUAUUUCUAUGUAAUAUUAGACCCCGUGCGUGUGUGGUUUCGAGGUACAGCUCCCUAUCAACUGUUGCCGUGCAUUCCGUCGAUUUGCUUGACGUCUUUCGUCCACAUGUGCCCAGCAGUAUUCUCUAUGCUCUUGCUUUCCUGUCAUACUUCCAACUGGCACUCGUAAAACUAAUAUUACAAUUUCAUAGCCGCGCUCUGUUUUGUGAUGUACUCGUGUUUUUCUUGCACAAAUUGCAAUAACUUCGAUGGAGGAUGAACCGUAACACAAUCCCAGGAUGCCUCUUGCAUGCACAAUGAUGUCUUGUAAGCUUUCUGUAUAAUCAAACUAUUAAAAGUCAUAAUUUUUAAAGAAAAUUAUACAUAAUUCUAUUAUUUAUUUUUCGAGUUUAAGUUGUAACUUAUUGUAUGUUAAGGGAUACUAAAAGAUUAUAUCCAGUAUAAAAUAUUUAAAAAGAUAAAAUUCUCUUCUUUAUAUCUUUCAAAAUAGGAAGGAUUAAAUUGGUGAGUAUAUAAUGGAGAUUAUAAUUUUUAAAAUAUUUUUAAUGACUUGAUAGUUUUGAUUACACAGCGCUUAUAUGGAAAAUUUAAUUGCCAACAGUUUUUUGCUCAUAUAUAAAGGUUGUUUUCCUUGAUAUAGCAAUUCUUACAAUUUCCUUGGUUUUAGACCCUCCAAUACCUAUCAACUUUAAUACAGACAUUGAAUACAGUGAUGUUUGAGCAUGCUAAUUAGUGUCGUGGGGAAAGGUCAGUCUUCAUGUAUAAUUUCAUCCUAGGAACUGUUUGGUUCUCUGAAAUUAAGAGAAGUUAGAUAGUAAUCUAAGUGAGAAACACUUUCUAGAUUUCUGUUUCAUGGAUUUUAAUUUAUGAGAUUAGCGACAACAAUGACGAUGACUAGUUAUUUCUCGGCUGGCCCUGCCGCCGGGUCCAAAGCCCACGAUUGACAACCAAUGCCGACCCUAGAGCAGCUCCAACAUCCUGUGUAAACAUACCGUGUUCUUGUAAAAAUAAGAAAAUCUCAGUCAAAACUCCUCUCCUUUCUCGCUACUUCAUCUCCCUUGCUUUCGUGUCCCCUUCGCUAGGCAUCUUUGCCGAGCGGCCACAACUCGCCAUCGUCUCGCCCUCUAGCUUUCCUGCGCUCUCUUCGGCCUUGUCACUAUCGCACGAACUCUCGCUGUCCCACUCCUGCACGCGUUGUAACACCCAAAACCCAAUUUUAGGGUCUAUAAAAUUUCCCCCAAAAGAAUUGAGUUAAAAUGCCUUUUAAAAAAAUAGAUUCCUUUCUCUAUAAAGUCUAUUUCGCUAAAGUAAAUAAAUAGUGAUAUUCAAAUUUUGGUAGCUCAACAAUUAGACACUCAUAUGAAUAGUUCCGCAUGGGCAUAAGUUGAAGACUUGGUUUAGGAAAAGUCCAGGGGUCUCGGUGUAAACUGGUUUUUCUUAAAACCUUUUAAACUUUAUUAUUUAAAUGUAAACAGAGCUUGUAAAAUUCAUAACUUUAGUUUUAUUCAACCAAAUUUGGUCAAACCAAUUUUGCUAGGUUCUAAAUAAUAUGAACUACUUAGGAAAAAUACAAAACACCCUAAGUAUUGCAGAAAGUUUUAAAGUUUUGAUUUAAAUAGUAAACUAACCAAAAGCUAAAUAAAGAAGGGAAAAAUAGCUACACUCUUAGACUGGGGUUAGGAAAAAUUGGAGAGGUGCUUAACCACUACCUAGCCUGUUUUAAAAUAAUAAACCCCUCAGUACACCAGAUUAGGAAAGGGUUUACCAUUUAAACUCAUUUUGACUCAAAGUUAAAGAAAAUAGAAAAGGGAGUUUAAAAUAAGAACCAGGGGGCAACCACAUUUUUGCUAGUUUACUUCAUUCACAUAGUUCACUGGAAAUUUUUGCUAAGCCCUCUGUUAGUACAAAAGAAAUGAACUACCUUUUAUUUCAUGAAAACAAGGAGGACUUAGAAAAAUCCUAGAAAAAUAAUCCUGAGAAGAACCCACCCCAAACCUUGGGAUAACUAAUAAUAUGUUAUUAUGAAUCUAGGAAAAAUGUAAGUUCUGUUGUUUGAUAUUUUUCAAAUAACAAGUUAGUUAUAAGUACCUUUUUGGCAUUAAACUUUAGAAAAUCACAACUUAAUAUCCAGUAGGUCUUUUUCUGUGAUUUUUAACACAGAGACCUAUUAUCAUUUAGGAAUCAUGGCAAAAAUAAAAUUUAGUGCAGAAACCUCACCUAAAGCAGAGCUAUAGUGUAAAGUGCCCUUUUACCCUUUUGUUAAUUUUGCACAAGGAGUGUCUGAAUUAAUUUCAACCUCAAAUUUUUAGAAUAACCCACAGAAGUCAAUGUUUACCCACUGUAAUUUUUAUAACAUUUUUGUAAAAUGUUAACUUGCCAUGAUAGUUCAAAAAUACUUAAUAAGAAGCAUAAUAGGAGGAAAAAGGGAAAAUUUUGGGAGAACUUAAUAAGGUAUAACUAAAUCCUUCUAAGAGUCCCAUAGGACCUAAAAGAUGUAACUAGAGGUUUUAAGUUCAUUCAAAACCAUAAAGGUGAAGGUAUGAAACCCUUAAGACUAACAACGGAAACCCUAGUAUACCCCUAUUUUAAUACUGUUUCACUAUGAUUAGUAUUUCCCAAAAUGCCAUAUCAUUAAUAUGCAUACAUCUUAUUCAUUGCAUUCAAUAGACUGUAAUCUCGCUGACGGGGAAUACAUCCUCGUUCCGGAGCAAGGAGCUGCUCAGGAGGUAGCCCAGGAGCCAGCACCAGAGCCUGCCAUCGAGGAUCUGCCUGCCCCAGCUUUGGAAGGCAAGCCCCGGUUUUAUGCAUAACCUAUUCUAUAUGCUAUUUUACUACACUUAAUGUUUGUAGGUUUGUAAUGUGCACUUAAGUGUAGGAGUUGUUUGGAACCUUAGUUGCAUGAACUCAGGAUUCCUUUUGAGAUGGGUACUAGUAUGCUAGGUCGAGUAGCUGCUUUACGAAUUAGGGCUCUCGGUAGAAGUCGAGUGAUUUUCCUAGCACUCGCGCGAGGUCAGGAAUUGCUUGUAUCCAUUUAUAUAUCGUAAUGAUGAUGGUAUGUGGACAACGGUCCAUGGGGAUGCGUUGUCUACGAGACGGAAAUUGGAAUAAGGAUUAAGGUGUGGUACCGUGUGUCAAGCGUUUGAACGUACUAAGCACAUACCAAGAAAUAUGGUAAAUCGGUAAGCCUAGUACCUGAGUGAACCUGGCAGUAGAUUGCCCUCCUCACGCUGUAAGGAAAAUGGACCCCGGGCCUUUUGGCUAAUUGAGUUUUGAUGUUUGAUGAACAACACAAUCCGUGAACUAAUAAGUUUUCUAGUGUUUGUGUUUGUAGUUCACAGGAUGCGAAGAGAAUUGGACCAAGGCAAUGAGGAUGCAACACCUCAAAAGAAGACAUAAAAAGAUGCAUAAGAGUCCAAUGCUCAAGAACAAAGAAGCCCGAAGAAAUCAGCGAAGAGAUCCAACACAAGGGCUAUCAGCCAGCGCCAGGUGGCGCACCGGACAUCGGUGUCCGGUGUGCACCGGACUGUCCGGUGAGGCACCGGACAGUCUGCGCAAAGAGGCCGCAGAAAGGCGCUCUCUGGCUGUAGCACCGGACUGUCCGGUGUGCACCGGACUGUCCGGUGUGCCAACGGGCAGAAAGGCAACGGUCGGAUCCAACGGUCGACUGCUACAGGCGCCAACGGUCGGCUGACGUGGCGUGCACCGGACAUCUACUGUUCAGUGUCCGGUGGUGCACCGGACUGUCCGGUGCACCCGACGACAGAAAGCUGCUGCUUUCUGUCCAACGGCUAGUUGGGGGUGUGGAGGCUAUAAAUACCACCCCAACCGGCCAUUCUCAAGUGUGAGAGCCCAAGCAACAUACCAAGGCAUAUAUUACACAUUUCCAAGAGCUCAAACACCCAAGUGCUUAAUAGAAUCACUCGGUGAUUAGCGUAGGUGCUUUGCGAAGUGCUUAGGUUAGUUAGACCGCUUUAGCGCUUGCUCUAGGUGAAUCCUAGUUAGUUGAGUGAGUUUAGAUAAACCUCACAACCCCUCGACUCUUGCGUGAGUCGUUGUAAUUGUACCAAGUGGGGCGAGAGUCUUGCGAGACCGUGACAACCGUGUUUGUGUCACGGCCGCCACCGUGUACCGGAGGGAACGAGGCCCGCGGCGUUUCGGCCGGAAGCUCGAUAGUGGAGACGGCGGGGAGCGUCCGAGAAGAGCCGGAAGCGGAGCACCACUUGCGCGUGGAGAAGGCCCGUGGCUCUCUACGGAGUUACUCGACCGUGGUGCUUGGCCCUCGCGUGGGCUUCCCUUUGCGUAGGGGCACCAACGAGGAUUAGUCGGAACCUUGCGUGGUUCCGGAUACCUCGGUAAAAAUACCGGCGUCAUCCACGAGAGUUUGCUUCUCUACUUAGCUCUUUACAUUCCGCAUUUAUAUUAAGCAUUUAAGUUUCAAUCUUAUUGUCAUACUUAUUUAGUGUAGAUUGAAACUUAGCCUUUGCGGUAGAGAUAGCAACACUUAGACAAAACCGAGUUUGCACAUUCUAGUUUUGAUUAUUUGCAUAGGUUUUGCUCUAGGGAUUUAAUUGUGGCCUAGUUUAGUAAAAGUUUUAGAAGUCCUAAUUCACCCCCCCCCUCUUAGGCGUCACCCGUUUCCUACAAGUGGUAUCAGAGCCGGUUUGGCUCAUUUGAAACGCUUUAGCUUCACCGCUAAAAGAGCCGACGCUUUUUAGAGGAAGGGAUGGAUACCCAUAGGCCACCACACUUUGACGGCACUAACUUCCCAUAUUAUAGUGCUAGAAUGGCUUGUUACCUAGAGGCCGUUGAUCUAGGUGUUUGGAGAGUUACUCGUGACAGGAUGAAACCUCUCAAGAAUCCCGAGAAACCCACCACGAGUGAGGAAAAAGAAAUUCAUUUAAAUGCUAGAGCCAAAAAUUGCUUGUAUGAAUCUCUUAGCAUGGAUAUUUUCAAUCAAGUAUUUACCUUGAAAACUGCUAAUGAGAUUUGGCUAAAAUUGCAUGAGCUCCAUGACGGCACAUCCAAUGUCCGUGAGCAAAAACAUUGCCUAGUCUUAAAUGAGUAUAAUUCUUUUGCUAUGAAAGAUGAUGAGCUUGUUAGAGACAUGUAUUCUCGUUUGAAUCUAAUAAUCAAUGAGCUCAAUUCUAUUGGCAUUAAUAAGCUAGGUGAUGCGGACAUUGUGAGGAAGAUUAUCUCCCUGCUACCACAACAAAAAUAUGGGAGCAUCAUCACCAUCCUUCACAACAUGGAGGACUUAAGCAACAUGACCCCGACCAUUGUGAUUGGGAAAAUCGCGGCCUUUGAGAUGUCGCGAAAAAUGAAUCGGGGAGAGGAGCCAACUUCCUCAAGACCAUAUGCUUUUGCAUGUGAUGAAAGGAAGGGCAAAAAGAAGGCUCCCACUCCAAGUUCCUCAAGUGAAGAAGAGGAAGAAGAAGAAAGUGAUGAUGAUGAAGAUAGUCAACCAUGCACAUCAUCCUCCGAGGACGAAGAAACGAUCCGACGCGUCGGAAAGGUAAUGGGGAUGAUCCGCAAGAUUAAUCUAAUGGGUGUGCCCCUGCAGGUCGAGGAUCUUCUCUUUAACAUUGACAGGAAAAAGCAAAGGAAGAGAGGAUGCUUCGCAUGUGGGGAGAAGGGCCACUUCAGGGACAACUGUCCAAAUAUGGCCAAACCCAAAAAGGAGAGGAGCAAAGGCAAGGCGCUCACAAGUGUUAGAACUUGGGAUGACUCUUCAAGUGAAGAUGAACCUUCAAGGACGCGCAGCCACCGGUCCUCGUCACGAUCAUCACGGUCAUCACACAAAUGCCUUAUGGCAAGAGGUAACAAAAGCAUUCCAUCCUCUAGUGAUGAACGUAGUAGUGAUGAUGAAGGUGAGGGAAAGGCCUCUCUAGAAGAACUUGCGGAAGCCGUUAAUUUUUUCCAGGAUGUUUGCACUAAGCAAAAAGCUCAACUUAAAACUUUGAAAAAUAAGUUGGUUAGCUCUCAAAAUGAUUACAAAGGUUUGCUAGAAAAAUUUGAAACUUUUGCAAACUUAAAUAGUGAGCUAUCAACUAAAAUUGAGCUAUUGGAAUCUAGUGCUCCACCCACUGCUACCGAUGAUGGCCUUAUUAAAAAGAAUGAAAAACUUAAAGCUAAGUUAGCUAGCUCCCAAGAAGCUAUUGAAAAUUUGCUAGAGAAAAUGGAAAUUCUUAGCAUACACAACAAUGAGCUAACUACUAAGCUAGAAAACAUUGGUAGCACCCCAGCAGCAUCUUUAGUUGAAAUACCUGAAAUAAUUAAGAAAGAUGCUUCUACUUCCUGCUUUGAUUUAAUUGAUGAUUCUAACCCCUGCAACCAAGUUGUUGUUGAGAAUAUUGUUGUAGAGACAUGUUCUGAUGAGGUUGCGAAGGAAAAUGAACAAUUAAAGCAAGAAGUGGCUCGUCUUGGCAAGGCUUUGUAUGACAAGAAAGGCAAAGCCAAACAAAUCCGACCUCCACAGGAUAACACCACUGCGGGAGUGAACAAGCCUGUAGAGGGAGAAACUGUGAUUUGUAGGCUAUGUCACAUGGAAGGCCACAAGUCUUUCCAAUGCAAGGCGAUGACCGGGGAUAAACAAAGGCAAAAGCUCAAGCAAAAGCCAUCAAGCAAAAUCUCCAACACCUACAUCAAAAAGGUGAACAAAAAGGAUGCUACACCAUAUUUGAUCAAGAAGAAAAAGAAUGGAAAGGUGAUAGCAAUCAAGGCCAACAAGCAAGCCAACAAAGGAAAGGGGGCCAAACGCAUCUGGGUGCCAAAGGAGAUAAUUUCAACCAUGAAAAGCACCAAGAAGGUUUGGAUCCCGAAAGGGAAGUGAGUGGACCGAAGGUAAUCGGGAAAUUUGGAGACUUGGCUAAAUUGGGAUGUAUAUCAUGGGAUACAUCAUAUUGGAUCAAGUUUAUUGCCAAGUGGGUUAGUGAAAACUUUGGACCCAAAUUUCCCACCCAUGACUAAGGUAACUAGCUUUAUUGUAUUCUUUUACGAUUGGUAUCUAUUUAUCUUUUAUCUAGUUUACCUUUCUUGCCUAGUAUUACAUUUUGUUAUGUACUUUUGUUCAAAAAUCACGCAUACUAGGUAAAUCAUAUGGUAGGAUUGCUUGUUUUUAAUUCAUAUACUUAAGCAAACCUACAUGGCUUAAAAUGAUUAUUUAAGCACGGCACAUAGCUUUUAUAUCACUCCAUAGUAAAUGAUGCAUCAAUUGAAAAUUUUGAUCUUUACAAAGUGUAUCAUUUAACUUUUAUGUGCCAAAGUUAGGAUUAUGGAUAAUUUGCCCCUCUUGAUAUCAAAUCAAAGUGCAUGUCUCCUACAAGUAUUCAAAACUUGUAUGCACACCUUUAGGGGGAGGUUACUCUAUAAUCUAACACUUUGAGACUAACACCUUUUCAAGUCUAUUUCAUGUGAUAGUCUCAUUGUAAGGAAAAAUAAGGUCCCCGGAGAAAGACAACAAUCUUCCACUGCAAAAUCUCCAAGAACUCUCAUGUCUCUCAAGCUCGCCAUUGAUCUUCAAUUGGUAUCUUUUGAGACUACAUUCAGUAUCAUUUACAUGUCUUCUCUAAUAUUUGAUUAGACUAUAUUUCAUAUCACAUACUUCCUUGUUGCUAAAAAUGCAUAAGUGGUUAACUCAUAUUCUGUUACCUAUGCAUAAGGGAAGUUAGUCUUUUCAAAUCAUGUCUUGCACCUCUAAUUUUCACAUGCUUUUUCCUAAGUAGAGGAUCUCUGUCAGGGGGAGUAUUUCUUCAUCUCUAAAGGGGGAGAAAAACUCUUUCUAAAGGAGAAUACUCAUUUAAGGGGAGUAAUCUUUUGAGGAACUCCUACACGUGGUAUCUUUCAUGGUCUUCAAGUGGUAUCUUUCAUGGCUUAAUUUAAUAUCCUUCUAGUGAUAUCAUUUGAUACAAUUCCUGUUGAGGGCAAGCUUUUAUUUACUUCCUACAUGCUUUUAAUGUCUUCCUUUUCGGUGGUUGAUGCCAAAGGGGGAGAAGUUUAGGGGCCAAAGCAAUGAAAACUAUAUCAAACACCAAACACCACCAAUUUUAAAUUUUAUAUCUACAAAUGGCUUUUUAAGUGGUUUUGGUAUUUGGUCCAAAAAUAGGAAGUAAGUGAAUUAUGGAGUUAGGGGGAGACUUAAGUCCAUAAUAUCACAUUGUGGGGAUAAUCAUGCAUCCUAGCAAGUAGAUUGCAUAUUUUCACUCAAAUACUUGCAUUAUUUGCUUGCUUUGGUUGUGUUGUCAUCAAUCACCAAAAAGGGGGAGAUUGUAAGGAAAAUGGACCCCGGGCCUUUUGGCUAAUUGAGUUUUGAUGUUUGAUGAACAACACAAUCCGUGAACUAAUAAGUUUUCUAGUGUUUGUGUUUGUAGUUCACAGGAUGCGAAGAGAAUUGGACCAAGGCAAUGAGGAUGCAACACCUCAAAAGAAGACAUAAAAAGAUGCAUAAGAGUCCAAUGCUCAAGAACAAAGAAGCCCGAAGAAAUCAGCGAAGAGAUCCAACACAAGGGCUGUCAGCCAGCGCCAGGUGGCGCACCGGACAUCGGUGUCCGGUGUGCACCGGACUGUCCGGUGAGGCACCGGACAGUCUGCGCAAAGAGGCCGCAGAAAGGCGCUCUCUGGCUGUAGCACCGGACUGUCCGGUGUGCACCGGACUGUCCGGUGUGCCAACGGGCAGAAAGGCAACGGUCGGAUCCAACGGUCGACUGCUACAGGCGCCAACGGUCGGCUGACGUGGCGUGCACCGGACAUCUACUGUUCAGUGUCCGGUGGUGCACCGGACUGUCCGGUGCACCCGACGACAGAAAGCUGCUGCUUUCUGUCCAACGGCUAGUUGGGGGUGUGGAGGCUAUAAAUACCACCCCAACCGGCCAUUCUCAAGUGUGAGAGCCCAAGCAACAUACCAAGGCAUAUAUUACACAUUUCCAAGAGCUCAAACACCCAAGUGCUUAAUAGAAUCACUCGGUGAUUAGCGUAGGUGCUUUGCGAAGUGCUUAGGUUAGUUAGACCGCUUUAGCGCUUGCUCUAGGUGAAUCCUAGUUAGUUGAGUGAGUUUAGAUAAACCUCACAACCCCUCGACUCUUGCGUGAGUCGUUGUAAUUGUACCAAGUGGGGCGAGAGUCUUGCGAGACCGUGACAACCGUGUUUGUGUCACGGCCGCCACCGUGUACCGGAGGGAACGAGGCCCGCGGCGUUUCGGCCGGAAGCUCGAUAGUGGAGACGGCGGGGAGCGUCCGAGAAGAGCCGGAAGCGGAGCACCACUUGCGCGUGGAGAAGGCCCGUGGCUCUCUACGGAGUUACUCGACCGUGGUGCUUGGCCCUCGCGUGGGCUUCCCUUUGCGUAGGGGCACCAACGAGGAUUAGUCGGAACCUUGCGUGGUUCCGGAUACCUCGGUAAAAAUACCGGCGUCAUCCACGAGAGUUUGCUUCUCUACUUAGCUCUUUACAUUCCGCAUUUAUAUUAAGCAUUUAAGUUUCAAUCUUAUUGUCAUACUUAUUUAGUGUAGAUUGAAACUUAGCCUUUGCGGUAGAGAUAGCAACACUUAGACAAAACCGAGUUUGCACAUUCUAGUUUUGAUUAUUUGCAUAGGUUUUGCUCUAGGGAUUUAAUUGUGGCCUAGUUUAGUAAAAGUUUUAGAAGUCCUAAUUCACCCCCCCCCCUCUUAGGCGUCACCCGUUUCCUACACACGCGACCUGAGACGUGGUUUCCCAUUCCGGUUAUGGUGGGUACAAGUGCGGUCACUGCACGAUGACAGUCAGGGUCAGUGAGGCAUUGUACGCUAAGGCGGUGAGCCCCUCUCUACUGACGGGGAAUCGAUGGGGACGGUUGAUAUGUGUGGGGACAGAGUGCCUCGCCACCUCGUGUGUUUAGGUUUACCUUGCAAGGUUUAAAAACUCGAUUCGAAUCGUCUGCUUCUCGUAGCUAAUGAGACUGCUUGAUCCAUGCUGCUACAUUGAGUAACAAGUGGAAAUGUGUUGAUUUGGCAAAAGAUGUUGAUUGCUAAAUGCUUGAUACGAUGUAUGAUUAGCUAGGUACACAUUUAGUCUUAAGAGAGUCACAGUAAAACUUGAAAACCUAAAACUUGAUUUUAGACUCAGCUAGUGCUUUUUGGCAAACCAAACCCCUCAGCCAAAUAGUUGCAUGUCUAGAGGUAGAGGAGUAGACUCCUCACACCGAGUAAGUAUAGCUGAGUAUUAGUGUACUCAGCCUUGCUUGUGGCAUAAAUUUUUACAGGUUCUCUGGAGGACAUGGUUGCUGGAGUGACUUGGUCGUCCAUCUUGCCACCGGGUUGGACAGUCGAGUGGGACCCUACCUCGGCCGAGGAGGAGCAUGAGGAGUGAUGGGACAUGCUUCCCCAUCCCUCCGUUUAUUUACCAUUAGUUAUAUUCUGCUGUAUUCCGAACAAUGAUCACUACUUUUGAUAAACUCUGAUAAUGUGGUAAUAAAUUAAGUACUCCUCAAUGUAUGGUUUUAUGCCUUAUUGUAUUUGCUAUGUGACUCACCUUUGAGUGAGUACGUGGUACUUGAUCCUGUUAGUGGCCUCGUCGGACUAGAUCCGAGGGACUGACGUUUUAUUCCUAUUUAAGUGUGGUCUAGCCUCUAAGGUGGGGCUUAGGCACUUAAGUUGGAAUAACUCAGGCGGUUCCGCCACAAUUACUGUCUUUAGAAGAAGUGAUGAUUCAAUAGCAUUUAAAGGAGUGUUAGAGGGUCAGCUAUAUUUAAUUGAUUUUAAUGAGAACACAGCUGAACUCAACACUUGUUUAAUUGCUAAGACUAAUAUGGGUUGGCUCUGGCAUCGCCGACUAGCCCAUGUUGGGAUGAAGAAUCUUCACAAGCUUCUAAAGGGAGAACACAUUUUGGGACUAACAAAUGUUCAUUUUGAGAAAGACAGGGUUUGUAGUGCAUGUCAAGCAGGAAAGCAAGUUGGUACCCACCAUCCACACAAAACAUAAUGACAACGGACAGGCCACUGGAACUACUCCACAUGGAUCUAUUCGGCUCGAUAGCUUACAUAAGCAUCGGCGGGAGUAAGUAUUGUCUAGUAAUUAUGGAUGACUAUUAUCGCUUCACUUGGGUGUUCUUUUUACAGGAAAAAUCACAAACCCAAGAGACCUUAAAGGGAUUCUUGAGAUGGGCUCAAAAUGAGUUCGAAUUAAGGAUCAACAAAAUAAGAAGUGACAAUGGGACGGAGUUCAAGAACUCCCAAAUCGAAGGCUUUCUUGAGGACGAGGGCAUCAAGCAUGAUUUCUCUUCUCCCUACACACCUCAACAAAAUGGUGUAGUGGAGAGGAAGAAUAGAACUCUACUGGACAUGGCGAGGACCAUGCUUGAUGAGUACAAGACACCGGAUCGGUUUUGGGCGGAAGCAAUCAACACUGCUUGCUACUCCAUCAACCGGUUAUAUCUUCAUCGAAUCCUCAAGAAGACAUCAUACGAACUCCUCACCGGUAAAAGCCCAAUGUUUCAUAUUUUAGAGUCUUUGGUAGCAAAUGCUUUAUUCUUGUUAAAAGAGGUAGAAAAUCUAAAUUUGCUCCUAAGGCUGUAGAAGGUUUUUUACUUGGUUAUGACUCAAACACAAGGGCAUAUAGAGUCUUCAACAAAUCCACUGGAUUAGUUGAGGUUUCUUGUGACAUUGUGUUUGAUGAAACUAAUGGCUCCCAAGUGGAGCAAGUUGAUCUUGAUGAGCUAGAUGAUGAAGAGGCUCCAUGUGUCGCUCUAAGGAACAUGUCCAUUGGGGAUGUGUGUCCUAAGGAAUCCGAAGAGCCUUCACAAGCACAAGAUCAACCGUCAUCUUCCAAUCAAGCAUCCCCUCCAACUCAAGAUGAGGAUCAGGCUCAAAACAAUGAAGAUGGAGAUCAAGAGAAUGAGCCACCUCAAGAGGAGGACAAUGAUCAAGGGGGAGAUGAAGUUGAUCAAGACAAGGAAGAUGAUCAGGAGAUUUAGGGUCAAAGACCGCCACACCCAAGAGUCCACCAAGCAAUUCAACGAGAUCACCCCGUGAACUCCAUUCUCGGUGAUAUCCAUAAGGGGGUAACUACUAGAUCUCGAGUUGCUCAUUUUUGUGAACAUUACUCUUUCGUCUCCUCUAUUGAGCCAUACAGGGUAGAGGAUGCACUAAGAAGUUCGGAUUGGGUGAUGGCUAUGCAAGAGGAGCUCAACAACUUCACGAGGAAUGAGGUAUGACAUUUAGUUCCACGUCCUAACCAAAAUGUUGUAGGAACCAAGUGGGUAUUCCGCAACAAGCAAGAUGAGCAUGGUGUGGUGACAAGGAACAAAGCCCGACUUGUGGCCAAAGGAUAUUCACAAGUCAAAGGUUUGGACUUUGGUGAAACUUAUGCACCCGUAGCUAGGCUUGAGUCAAUUCGUAUAUUACUUGCCUAUGUUAUUUACCAUGGCUUUAAGCUUUAUCAAAUGGACGUGAAAAGUGCCUUCCUCAAUGGACCAAUCAAGGAAGAGGUCUAUGUUGAGCAACCUCUCGGCUUUGAAGAUAGUGAGUACCCUAACCAUGUUUAUAAACUCUUAAAGGCGCUUUAUGGGCUCAAGCAAGCCCCAAGAGCAUGGUAUGAAUGCCUACAAGAUUUCCUUAUCACUAAUGGCUUCAAAGUCGGUAAAGUCGAUCCUACUCUCUUUACUAAAACCAUUGCAAAAGAUUUGUUUGUAUGCCAAAUUUAUGUUGAUGAUAUCAUAUUUGGGUCUACUAACAAAUCAACUUGUGAAGAGUUUAGUAGGAUCAUGAUUCAAAAAUUCGAGAUGUCUAUGAUGGGGGAGUUGAAGUAUUUCCUAGGAUUUCGAGUCAAGCAACUCCAAGAGGGCACCUUCAUCAGCCAAACAAAAUACAUUCAAGACAUACUUACCAAGUUUGGAAUGAAGGAUGCCAAGCCCAUCAAGACACCCAUGGGAACAAAUGGGCAUCUCGACCUCGACACGGGAGGUAAAUCCGUAGAUGUAGAUCAAAAGGUAUACCGGUCGAUGAUAGGAUCUCUACUUUAUUUAUGUGCAUCUCGACCGUAUAUUAUGCUUUCCAUAUGCAUGUGUGCAAGGUUCCAAGCCGAUCCUAAAGAAGUUCACCUUAGGGCCGUGAAAAGAAUCAUGAGAUAUUUAGUUUACACUCCUAAGUUUGGACUUUGGUACCCCAAGGGAUCCACUUUUGAUUUAAUAGGAUAUUCAGAUGCCGAUUGGGCAGGGUGUAAAAUUGAUGGAAAGAGCACAUCAGGGACUUGUCAGUUUCUGAGGAGAUCCCUGGUGUCUUGGGCUUCAAAGAAACAAAACUCCGUAGCUCUUUCUACCGCCGAAGCCAAGUACAUUGCCGCAGGCCAUUGCUGUGCGCAAUUAAUUUGGAUGAGGCAAACCCUCAGGGACUAUGGCUACAAAUUGAGCAAAGUCCCUCUCCUAUGUGACAAUGAGAGUGCAAUCCACAUGGCGGAUAAUCCCGUUGAACACAGUCGCACUAAGCACAUAGACAUUCGGUAUCACUUUUUGAGGGAUCACCAACAAAGGGGAGAUAUCGAGAUUGCUUAUGUUAGCACCAAAGAACAAUUAGCCGAUAUCUUUAUCAAACCAUUAGAUGAGAAAACCUUUACCAAACUUAGGAAUGAGCUAAACAUUCUUGAUUCUCGGAAUUUUGAUUGAAAUAUUGCACACAUAGCUCAUUAUAUAUCUUUGAUCAUAUCCCUUUCAUGACUACGACUAAUGUGUUUUUCAAGUGUAUUUCUAUGCUAAGUCGUAGAUUGAAAGGGAAAUGGAGUCUUCGGCGAAGACAAGGCUUCCACUCCACUCUAUCGGUAUCAUUUACCCUUCGCCGUCCCUCCACACCACUCUUCGAUUGGUAUAAUCUUCACUCAUAUUUCAUUUACCAAUGGAGGAGCAAAUAAAAAGGGGCUCACAAAGUCUCCAUUUUUGGCGAUUAAUGUCAAAGGGGAUAAAGUAUUAGCCCAAAGCAAACGGAUCGCACCAUCGAAAAUUUUAAAAUUAAUAUAUUUCAAAUUGGUAUGUUGAUUUUCAAUUGGUAUAUUUUCAAAACUAUCAUCUAAAUAUACUUCCAAUUGGUAUCUAUUAAAACCCUCUUGAAAGCUAAGAGAAGAAUUUCAUUCAGGGGGAGUUUUGUUUAAGUCAAAGAAAAAGCAUUUGAAAAGGAGGAGAAAAUUUCAAAUCUUAAAAAUGCUUCUCGAAAUCUUAUUCAUAUACCUUUGACUAUUUGCAAAAAGAUUUUGAAAAGACUUUCCAAAAGAAUUUACAAAAACAAAACAAGUGGUCCAAAAUGUUAAAAGAAAGAAAGCAAUCCAUGCAUAUCUAGUGAAAGUAUAAAUUGGUUUAAUUCUAAGUAACCUAUGCACUUACCUUAUGCAAACUAGUUCAAUUCUGCACUUAUAUAUUUGCUUUGGUUUGUGUUAGCAUCAAUCACAAAAAGGGGGAGAUUGAAAGGGAAAUAGGGUUUAACCUUUUCCUAUAAAUAAUUUUGGUGGUUGAAUGCCCAACACAAAUAUUGGACUAACUAGUUUGCUCUAGAUUGUAUAUUCCACAGGUGCAUAAAGGUUCAACACAAACUAGGGAUGGCAAUCGGGCGGGUAGUACACGGAUAUAUAGUUCGUGAAUCCAUACCCACGAGACAAAACUCAACCCAUACCCGUACCCAUAAACGUUCGUGGGUAUGGAUCUGUAUCCAUACCCGUACCUGCCGGGUAUCCGCUAUCUAGUGGAUACCUGUUACCCGCCCGCCCACUACAAUUUUAGCAUUAAACACCAAACAACAAUUUUAUUAUAUUUCAAAAUAAUUAUCAUUCUAAUAGCAUUAAAUGAUAAUUUCAGCACCAAACAACAUGUUAUGGAUAAAAGUUGAAAAAUAAGAAUUUAUGGUAAUAUAUAAAUCCGGAUGGCCCACAUGUUAGAUAUCCAUUGGGUAACGGGUAUGGAUACUAGAUAUCCAUACCCGCGAAAAAAUAUCCGCGGAUACCUUAUUAUAUCCAUAACCGUACCCGCGGAUAUCAAAUUCCACCAUACCAAUAUCCAAUGGAUAAUUAUCCGCAGUUAUUUACCCAUACCCGUACCCAUUGCCAUCCCUAACACAAACCAAUAAAAGAUCAAAGUUAGGGUUCAAAAGCAAAGGAGCAAAGAAACCGAGUAUGCCCUGGUCUGGCGCACCAGACUGUCCGGUGUGCCACCGGACAGUGACCGGUGCACCAGGACUGUACAGCGUCCAACUCUCCACUCUCGGGUUUCUCAGGCCGCGCUCCGCUAUAAUUCAUCGGACUGUCCGGUGCGCCACCGGACUGUCCGGUGCACCAGUGGAGCAACGGCUACUUCGUGCAACGGUCGACUGCAAAAGCCACUGACUCCGUGAACAGCGAAGAAUAGUGUGCGUAGAAGUCAGAGCAGUCGCCAGAGGCACUCCGGACAGUGAACAGUACCUGUCCGGUGCCACUAGAAGACAAAGGCUCCAACGGUCGACUGCGCCCAAACCCUAACGGUUGGGUGACGUGGCUGGCACACCGGACAGUGUCCGGUGGCGCACCGGACUAUUCGGUGUGCCCAUCGACAUGAGCCCUCCCCAACGGUUGUUUGGUGGUUGAGGGCUAUAAAUACCCCUCAACCACUUCCACUCUAACCAUCCAAGCAUUCAUCACACUUCAUUCAAUACAAGAGCAAAAGUGCACCACUCCAAGACACAAAAUCAAAGCCCUUGAUCCAAUCAAAGUCCCCAAUUCAAUUCUAGUGCUUUAGGACUUGUGAGAGGAUCGUUCUUGUGUUUCUUUGUUGCUCUUGUUGUUUGGUUGGCUUUCUUCUUUCUCUCAUUCUUAUUCUCAAAGCCUUGUAAGCGAAGAAAGAGACACCAAUCGUGUGGUGGUCCUUGCGGGGUCUAAGUGACCCGGGAAAUUAAGGAAGAAAGCUCACUCGGUCUAGGUGACCGUUUGAGAGAGGGAAAGGGCUGAAAGAGACCCGGUCUUUGUGACCACCUCAACGGGGACUAGGUUCUUUAGAACCGAACCUCGGUAAAACAAAUCACCGUGUUCAUCCGCUUUAUUUCUUGGUUGAUUUGCUUUCCUCUCUCUCCCGGACUUGAUAUUUGUUCUAACGCUAACCCCGGCUUAUAGUGUGUUUAAAGUUGUAAAUUUCAGUUUCCGCCUAUCCACCCCCCUCUAGGCGACUUUCAAAUGGAUAAUAAAAUUUGACCCACUUAUUAAAAGCAAUGAUUAGCUUUAACCAUUAUUUAUUGAUCAGCCUUACACUACACAUGAGCCCCACUGUAAGUGAGCUCAUGCAUAUUAUUCCCCACACUUGUUGAGCGAUGAACUUUUGUGAGCUCACUCUUGCGAUAACCCCACAAGUGAAGAGCACGUGGCCCCAGAGGAAUACUACUAUGACGAGUUCAACGAGGUCUAGGUGGCGUUUCUCAGUCAGCUUGAUGGUACCGAGAAAAUAAUAUUAGUUCAAUUUAUAUAUUAUCAUUUAUUUUGUAAGACAUUUCUGCUAUGUAAUAAAGUCUGUAACAUUUAUCUCUAUACACUGAGUCAUUGUAUGUGUUAGUUUUCUUGGCGCACAUAUGAGACGCACCCGGGUUUGCCCCUUAAAUCUGGAUGUGACAGAAGAUAUGGCCAAGAAUUUGACCGUCUAACCUUUAACGGGUGACACAAAAUAUAUGACGAAUUUUUGGUACCUUAGGGGGCAUUUGGUUCCCACGGCUAAAGUUUAGUUCACGUUACAUCAAUUACAUUUAUUAAAUAUAGAUUAAAUUAUAUUUAAUAAAAUUAUCUCGUCUUUUAGUCUUAUCUCUGUAAUUAGUUUUAUAAUUAAAUUAUAUUUAAUAUAUAUAAUUAUCAUUUAAACACUCAAUGUCGUAUGAACUAAAUGUUAGUGGGUCAAAUCAAACGCCCCUUAGUUAUAUAAUCAAACAAGUCCUUAGAUCAUGUUUGUUUCCUUUUAAGAUCAUGUAAUCUAACUUAUGAAUUAUAUAAGCACCUAAUAAACCACUUAUGAAUUAUCAUAAUAUAGACAUUUAGAUUAUAUAAUCCAUCUAAUAAGGGUUGUUUGUUUUGAAUUAUAAUCUAUCUAGAUUAUAUUAUCUAAUAGUUUAAAAUUUUAUGAUUAUAUAAUCUAGAUAUAUUAUAAUCUAAAAUAAAUACCUCUAAUUUAAGUUGUUUGUUUGAUUUUUAAUUUAUUUAAGCUGGAUUCGUAAACAAACAGCCACUGAUUGCUGCUCGACGGUCUCCCGUGAUCUGAUAAUAACAAAACCUGUAGGCUGUAGCCCAACGAGAGGAAUCAAAUUGGACAACCCUGUCGCCCUCUCGGUCUCCCUCGAGCUUUUCUUGUGCGCAGCCGCAGCCGCUGCUUUUCGUUCGUCUUCAUCCUACGCGAGGGCGAAACCCACAAACCCUCUCCCUCCUGUACUCCGGCCGACACAUCCAGGGGCGAUGACGCUGGGUAGCUCCGGCGCCGGAUCGAGCGUCGUCGGUAAGUAACCUACUCACCCAUCCCUUUUUUUUCAUGCCGUGGAUCUUCCGAUCGGAUCCGGUCUUUGGUCGACCUUGCGCGGGAUGCGCGUGCCCCGAUCUGCCCCGGGCUUAUCUGAUUCGACUAUGGCUGGAGAGGAAUAUGUAUGUGGUGCUUUUUUUCGGGCUGGAUUGGACCGAUUGUUCUAUUGGAUACUGCGGCGUGGAUAGACUAUAUGUGUUUUUAUUUCUGCCGAGUUGGACUAAUUGCUAGAGAUUCGACUGGUCCUACAUGCAUGCAAGAUUGACAGUCCUGUGAAUGCUUUAUACUGGUUCAGAAGCGGUGUUAAUUUUGCCAUGUUCUUUAACUAGGCAUUUCGUAUCUAGACAGGUGAAUGGAGGCACUCGUACCUGAUAUAUACUUUAAUCAAUUUAAUAAAUUAUAGUUCAUAUUGCAUGAAUAAAGGAUUAGGGAUGGAGAUUGAGGGUUUAUUAUUGUGAUAGCAGUGCAACUGGUUCGUUUGAGUUAUUGAGAAAAUAAAGCAAUGCAUUCUCUUAAUCAUGAAAAUGGCAGUACUUGAAGAAAAUUUUCUUGGUUGAGUUUUUGCCUGAAGGUUGGCAGUUGAUCUAUUUGUCAUCCUUGUGCUGCCAUGGUGUUUUGAUCAUCCUUGUUCUAGCGAAGGGCAGACCUAGUAUAGUGGUGAGAGCUGUCUCACUCAUGUGGGAGUUGCCAGCACUUGGGUCUGUCUUUUUUUUUGAGGUCUCUCAUUCUAGGCAGACUGAUUUGCACAAAGAAUGAUGCAUGCAAAAUAUCUACAUGCUAUCUGUUCUAAGACUACUAAUCCUUGUUUUGGCUAUGUUUGUGUUUCUGUUAUUUUUUUAUCUGCAUAGGUUGAGUGUCGGUCAUCUUGUUCUCAUUAGGCUGUCUCCAGCAACGAAUAUUCUCUGUCCUUUACAGAACCCUCUAAAAAAAUUCGUCCUCUAUAUCUUCGCCAUCUCCAGCAACGUCCUCUAAAUUCGGUACUCUAUAUCUACAGUGAUAACAAAAUUCAUAUACUCAUUUUUUAAUAAUCAUUUUUUCAUAUUAAUACAAUUUGAACUUAUGUGCGUAAUGGAAAAAUGAAGUUAUUUAUUUCUAGAAAUUUUAUAAGAAUGAAUUAGGAACUAAUUAUAAUAAUUACAUUUUGCAACCGACAUUGCUAAUCGUUUUUUCAUAACGAAAAAACUACAGUCUACGUACAUGUCUAUAUACAUAUUGGACAUAAACUGGUAAUACUAAUCUAAUAAUCCUAGUUAGCAAAAGUGCUGCUACUAUUAGGUUUACACAAAAAAAAAGAAUAGAAUUAAUCGGACUCUUAGCGGAGGUAGCUGAGCAGACGAACAACCACAUUGAAGAGUGGGCCCCAGGCUGAGCAGGCGGAUAGCGCGCGCAAGGAGACGCUCUACGCUUAGCGUUCGCCGUACACACUCUAUAUUUUACCGAUCUUUUUACAGUACCUUGUUGGAGACGGUAGAGAACGUUUCACACUCUAAAUUUAGAGUACAAAACCAUUUAGCGUCUAUUGUUGGAGCCCAUGUCCUUAUUCCACUUUAGUUCAAUGCUUUUUCUCUAGUGUUGCUUGCUGUUUUAUAUAAGAAAGUCCUUACAGUAAACUAAACUGACAUAGGAGGAACUAGGUGCAUUACAAAUAUUAAGACAUAGACACUCAAAUUUGUGCAAAAAGAAGACUUGAGCUUUAGUAGUGCGGGGUGUAUGUCCAUAUCUCCCACCAACUGAGCUAGGCUUGUAGUUCCUGUUUUUGUAACAUAUAAGAUUCAUUUAGUAGAGUACUAGUAGAAUUCAUUGCAUUACCUGCUUGCGUAACUGACAAAUGUUAAAAAUGCAGUUCCUCGAAACUUCAGGCUAUUAGAGGAGCUCGAGCGUGGAGAGAAGGGCAUUGGUGAUGGGACAGUGAGCUAUGGAAUGGAUGAUGCUGAUGACAUCUACAUGCGGUCAUGGACUGGUACCAUCAUUGGCCCUCACAAUGUGAGAACACAAUCUCAUCCUCUUUAUCUUUCCUGUGCCUUUAUUUAAUUAAGGUUAGGCACGCACAACUGCCAACUACUAGUACUCUGCUGCAAUUAUAGCAUGCAAAGAGUCCUCGUUUCACCCAACCAUCGAGCUGUUUGACCUUUAAUAGCAUGGAGAAAAGGAUGGUGACGACAAUGGUUGUAGAUUGAUGCAUAUAUAUGAUUAACCAUGGUAGUUCUUUCUCCUAAAAUCUAAAUAAAUAAAUUUGUGGAUAUUCCAUUUUUACAUCACAUCACAAUAAAACUGCUUGGGACAUGUGCAAUCCUUGAGUAUUCAACCAUCUGUAGGUCUUCUCUAACAACAGCGCAGUCUUUUCCAUAGAGUUACUUCUCUUGGCUAUCUAAUUUGUUUCCACGUCCAACAACAUUUCUCUUUGUCAGACUGUACAUGAGGGUCGCAUCUACCAGCUGAAGUUGUUUUGUGACAAAGACUAUCCGGAGAAGCCACCAUCUGUCAGAUUCCACUCAAGAAUCAACAUGACAUGCGUUAAUC
Molecule: long non-coding RNA, 20227 nt
Filed under: Zea mays
Lineage: Eukaryota; Viridiplantae; Streptophyta; Magnoliopsida; Poales; Poaceae
Description: long non-coding RNA (ZMAY_LNC002770)
Source: RNAcentral